UUGCAGCAAUGCAGAAUAGUGGCAAACGGGUGAGUACAACACAGGAACGUACCUUUAAGUGGGGGACAACUAUUCGAAAGGAUAGCUAAUACCGCAUGUGUCCGCAAGGAUAAAGGAUGUAACUAUUUGCUUAAAGAGCGGCCUGUGCACUAUCAGCUUGUUGGUGGGGUAAUGGCCUACCAAGGCUACGACGGUUAGGGGGUGUGAGAGCAUGGCCCCCCACAAGGACACUGAGAUACGGGUCCUACAUC
This 251-nucleotide ribosomal RNA is filed under the name uncultured bacterium. RNAcentral describes it as "partial 16S ribosomal RNA". It matches the Rfam family "Bacterial small subunit ribosomal RNA", at positions 74 to 339 of the family's 1533-position model. The record is from RNAcentral.